This 460-nucleotide ribosomal RNA is filed under the name uncultured bacterium. Its description in RNAcentral is "partial 16S ribosomal RNA". It matches the Rfam family "Bacterial small subunit ribosomal RNA", at positions 338 to 795 of the family's 1533-position model. The record is from RNAcentral.
CCUACGGGUGACAGCAGUGAGGAAUAUUGGUCAAUGGGCGGAAGCCUGAACCAGCCAAGUCGCGUGAGGGAUUAAGGCCCUGCGGGUCGUAAACCUCUUUUGCCGGGGAGCAGUGGUCCGGACGCGUCCGGACCGGGAGAGUACCCGGAGAAAAAGCAUCGGCUAACUCCGUGCCAGCAGCCGCGGUAAUACGGAGGAUGCGAGCGUUAUCCGGAUUUAUGGGGUUAAAAGGGUGCGCAGGCGGAAGAUCAAGUCAGCGGUAAAAUUGAGAGGCUCAACCUCUUCGAGCCGUUGAAACUGGUUUUCGUGAGUGAGUGAGAAGUAUGCGGAAUGCGUGGUGUAGCGGUGAAAUGCAUAGAUAUCACGCAGAACUCCGAUUGCGAAGGCAGCAUACCGGCGCUCAACUGACGCUCAUGCACGAAAGUGUGGGUAUCGAACAGGAUUAGAUACCCCGGUAGUC